Esox lucius (northern pike) is the source of this 1291-nucleotide RNA transcript. It is a transcript of the gene named CMP-N-acetylneuraminate-beta-1,4-galactoside alpha-2,3-sialyltransferase-like, with no coding region annotated. The record is from RefSeq and is a predicted model, not a curated record. The transcript is spliced from 3 exons. NCBI's taxonomy places the organism in Eukaryota, Metazoa, Chordata, Actinopteri, Esociformes, Esocidae.
AUAUGGAUAAAUGAUUUGGACAUCAUUGCAUUCUGUUGUUUUAGGCAGCGUCACAAUGUUUGGAAACAGGGUUGGAGAUAAAAGCAGUAUUUGGACUCCCUGGUCAGAAACAAGAUCCUAUCCUGCUCAUGUAGCCAAACCAGUACACCCACAUCCUGCUCCCUUAACCCCAUCCCCAGCUCUGAUCUCUAGGUAAUCUCUGGACGUUUUCUCCCAUUCAUCACCUCUCUCACAAACUGAUCCCUGACUGCUGGCUGCAUGCCCCGACUUCAAGAUGGACAGAAUCACUCUCCUCCUCAAGAAGACAACACUUAACUUCGAUGAUGUCAAAAGCUCCAGUCCAGGAUUCCUUUUGUCUUUUCUUUCCAAAAUACUUGAGCAUGCUGUCUCAUCAAAUUUCCUGAUAUCUCAGAAUGAUCUUCUCAAUGCUGAUCAGUUAGGCUUCAAGAGGGGUAAGGAUCAUCCUUCAAGAACUAUCCCCUGCCUUUGUCCCCAUCCUUCAAGAACUAUCCCCUGCCUUUGUCCCCAUCCUUCAAGAACUAUCCCCUGCCUUUGUCCCCAUCCUUCAAGAACUAUCCCCUGCCUUUGUCCCCAUCCUUCAAGAACUAUCCCCUGCCUUUGUCCCCAUCCUUCAAGAACUAUCCCCUGCCUUUGUCCCCAUCCUUCAAGAACUAUCCCCUGCCUUUGUCCCCAUCCUUCAAGAACUAUCCCCUGCCUUUGUCCCCAUCCUUCAGAAACCUUCCAUUACAUUCUCAUUGCUACCCUCUUGGCACCGGGCAUCUGAGGGUCUCUCUGACUGCAUCUUAACCGGUGAUGCAGACUGAACCGACUGUCCAGAUGAGGGGUUCCCUUGCCGAGGCCUGCACUUCCAGCUACCCUAAUUGACCCCCUUGGUCAUUGCGUGUAUGUUUAGAUUUAUAAUAGAGGGGCUUCCCGGCAGCUCUGUGUCAUGCCUCGUUGUUCUCCAACGAACUACAGCCCUUACUAUAGGAAUGUAUUAAGAAAGGUUUGAAAAGGUAAAGAAAACAUUAAUAAAUUAAAUAAAUGCUGUGCCACGAACCAGGACUGCACAAACAUCCGAGAUCCACAUCCAAAAGGGCCAGCCCCCCCACCCCCAAAAGCCCACACAAAGCAAUUUUUUCUUCUGUUCUUAAUUCUUCCCUCACAUUCUCCCCAUACCACCUACUUUUCCAUUACUAAAACAACAUCCAUGGAUCUAAACACUUGCUUUGUGUUAGUUCAAUGUCUUACCAGUAACAGUCCAUUUACUGUAUAUAAUACAUUAAUUAAA